AGCGAACGCUGGCGGCAGGCCUAACACAUGCAAGUCGAACGAACUCUUCGGAGUUAGUGGCGGACGGGUGAGUAACACGUGGGAACGUGCCUUUAGGUUCGGAAUAACUCAGGGAAACUUGUGCUAAUACCGAAUGUGCCCUUCGGGGGAAAGAUUUAUCGCCUUUAGAGCGGCCCGCGUCUGAUUAGCUAGUUGGUGAGGUAAAGGCUCACCAAGGCGACGAUCAGUAGCUGGUCUGAGAGGAUGAUCAGACACAUUGGGACUGAGACACGGCCCAAACUCCUACGGGAGGCAGCAGGGGGGAAUCUUGCGCAAUGGGCGAAAGCCUGACGCAGCCAUGCCGCGUGAAUGAUGAAGGUCUUAGGAUUGUAAAAUUCUUUCACCGGGGACGAUAAUGACGGUACCCGGAGAAGAAGCCCCGGCUAACUUCGUG
RNAcentral lists this ribosomal RNA (433 nucleotides) under uncultured bacterium. RNAcentral's name for it is "partial 16S ribosomal RNA". It matches the Rfam family "Bacterial small subunit ribosomal RNA", at positions 29 to 507 of the family's 1533-position model. The record is from RNAcentral.